UCUGGCCACUUCUUGAACCUG
Molecule: unclassified non-coding RNA, 21 nt
Filed under: Mus musculus (house mouse)
Lineage: Eukaryota; Metazoa; Chordata; Mammalia; Rodentia; Muridae
Description: oocyte_clustered_small_RNA13129
Source: RNAcentral